RNAcentral lists this long non-coding RNA (1181 nucleotides) under Marmota monax (woodchuck). The record is from RNAcentral. Lineage: Eukaryota; Metazoa; Chordata; Mammalia; Rodentia; Sciuridae.
CUCACUGGGCUUCUCUCUGCCAAACGAAGGCAGCAGAACUACGAGGGGUGAUGUGCAAACUUGCACUUGGACCAAAGGGGCCCCUCUCCUUUGCAGCCAGGGAAAGGGGUUCAGGUUGGCUUCUUAUCAGCCAAUUCUUAUUUUUUAGUAUAUUUUUAUUAGUUGUUGAUGAAUUUUUUAAAAUUUAUUUGUACAUGGUGCUGAGAAUCGAACCCAGGGCGUCACACAUGCUAGGCAAGCGCUCUACCACUGAGCCACCACCCCAGCCCAUUUUUCAGCCAUUUCUAACGUGAAGAUUCUCAAGAAUUAUUCAACAAAAAGCAGUCAAAUGCAAGAAAAAAAAAAUCCCCUGCUUUGAGAUCAGAGAUGAAAAUGAGAACAAGAUAUUGUCUUUGUACUGCUAAAUUAGCAUAAAAUUUAAACUGGUUCCACCAAGUGCUGGUGAGACCGUAAGAAACCGGUAGGUUCAGCAGUGGCUGGUCGGGGUAAUUUUAUAAUAUAGCUAUAUACGUGUCGAUAUGUGGGAUCAUUAACAACGUUGCUGUUCAUUGAUCCAGCCAUCUCAUUCCUGGGAAAUUAUCCAAAGGAAAUUGCUCAAAAGAAAGAAAAAGCUGUAUAUAUGAGGGCCUUCCCUGCAGCCAAGAUGACCCCUCUCCCGGCAAAUCCCCAGAACAAACGUAGCCAGAAGCCUGGUUUUUGGAUGGUCAGAAAGUUAAGAAAUUUUUUAAAAGAUCAUUAAAAUAAACAAAAGCAUGUGAAUUGUGUCAAUUCCUCCCCCCCCGACCCCCCCACCCCCAGCAAGAGGAAACUCAAUGAAGAGCAUAAAACAACACGGGGCUAUGUUACAAUCCACUGAGUUUUGCAGAACACAGCGGUGAGCAGUCACUGUGAUCUCAACCAUGGAAAACUAUGUCUUAGGCCCACUGACAGGAAGAGAAGGCAAAAAUGAAACUGUUGUUUGGGAUUGAUUUGAAAUGAUUUAUUUUCUUUAAAAGAACUUUUUCUUGGGCUGGGGAUAGUAUAGUUCAGUGGCAUGCACGAGGCCCUCAGUUUUAUCCCCAGCACUUCAAAGAAAAAAACAAAAACCAGAAUUCCUUCUUUUUCACAAAUAGCCCAGAUGCUCAUGGGCGGGGAGUUUAUGAUAUAAAUGUGGUCUUCUCUGGAUGGAAUACUAUGCAGCC